RNAcentral lists this ribosomal RNA (273 nucleotides) under uncultured bacterium. Its description in RNAcentral is "partial 16S ribosomal RNA". It matches the Rfam family "Bacterial small subunit ribosomal RNA", at positions 524 to 796 of the family's 1533-position model. The record is from RNAcentral.
UACGGAGGGUGCAAGCGUUAAUCGGAAUUACUGGGCGUAAAGCGCGCGUAGGCGGCUUGUUAAGCCAGAUGUGAAAGCCCCGGGCUUAACCUGGGAACUGCAUUUGGAACUGGCAGGCUAGAGUACAGAAGAGGGUGGUAGAAUUUCCUGUGUAGCGGUGAAAUGCGUAGAUAUAGGAAGGAAUACCAGUGGCGAAGGCGGCCACCUGGUCUGAUACUGACGCUGAGGUGCGAAAGCGUGGGGAGCAAACAGGAUUAGAUACCCGGGUAGUCC